Molecule: ribosomal RNA, 433 nt
Filed under: uncultured bacterium
Lineage: Bacteria
Description: partial 16S ribosomal RNA
Rfam family: Bacterial small subunit ribosomal RNA
Source: RNAcentral
AACGAACGCUGGCGGCAGGCUUAACACAUGCAAGUCGAGCGAGACCUUCGGGUCUAGCGGCGGACGGGUGAGUAACGCGUGGUAACGUGCCCUUCUCUACGGAAUAGACCCGGGAAACUGGGAGUAAUACCGUAUACGCCCUUUGGGGGAAAGAUUUAUCGGGGAAGGAUCGGCCCGCGUUGGAUUAGGUAGUUGGUGGGGUAAUGGCCCACCAAGCCGACGAGCCCUAGCUGGGUUGAGAGGAUGAUCAGCCACACUGGGACUGAGACACGGCCCAGACUCCUACGGGAGGCAGCAGUGGGGAAUCUUAGACAAUGGGGGCAACCCUGAGCUAGCCAGGCCGCGUGAGUGAUGAAGGCCUUAGGAUUGUAAAGCUCUUUCAGCUGGGAAGAUAAUGACGGUACCAGCAGAAGAAGCCCCGGCUAACUCCGUG